UACGAAAGGAGUAAAUAACUAAAAUAUUUUUAUAUA
Molecule: ribosomal RNA, 36 nt
Filed under: Potamon hippocrate
Lineage: Eukaryota; Metazoa; Arthropoda; Malacostraca; Decapoda; Potamidae
Description: partial 16S ribosomal RNA
Source: RNAcentral